This 491-nucleotide ribosomal RNA is filed under the name uncultured bacterium. RNAcentral's name for it is "partial 16S ribosomal RNA". It matches the Rfam family "Bacterial small subunit ribosomal RNA", at positions 29 to 506 of the family's 1533-position model. The record is from RNAcentral.
AGUGAACGCUGGCGGUAGGCCUAACACAUGCAAGUCGAACGGCAGCACAGUAAGAGCUUGCUCUUACGGGUGGCGAGUGGCGGACGGGUGAGGAAUACAUCGGAAUCUACUUUUUCGUGGGGGAUAACGUAGGGAAACUUACGCUAAUACCGCAUAAGACCUACGGGUGAAAGCAGGGGAUCUUCGGACCUUGCGCGAUUGAAUGAGCCGAUGUCGGAUUAGCUAGUUGGCGGGGUAAAGGCCCACCAAGGCGACGAUCCGUAGCUGGUCUGAGAGGAUGAUCAGCCACUCGGGAAGUGAGACACGGUCCAGACUCCUACGGGAGGCAGCAGUGGGGAAUAUGGGACUAUGGGCGAGAGCCUGAUCCAGCCAUACCGCGUGGGUGAAGAAGGCCUUCGGGUUGUAAAGCCCUUUUGUUGGGAAAGAAAAGCAGCAGGUUAAUACCCCGCUGUUCGGACGGUACCCAAAGAAUAAGCACCGGCUAACUUCAU